Molecule: long non-coding RNA, 553 nt
Organism: Vitis riparia (riverbank grape)
Lineage: Eukaryota; Viridiplantae; Streptophyta; Magnoliopsida; Vitales; Vitaceae
Exons: 3
Source: RefSeq, a predicted model, not a curated record
UACUCAUUGGAAAUAUUAAUUCAUCAUUCCAUACACUUCUGAUAAAACUCUGGAGGAUUUGAACUCAAAUAGAGUUUGCUUUUGGUGUGGCAGGUGGAGUAGCUGCCACAAGUUCAUAUGGACUAAACUUAUGAUCUCAACCAGUCGGUCUGAGAAGAUACCAUAUUCCAGAGAAGGCUUGAUGACUUCUACAUGGAUAACCCAGCAUAAGUUGUUUCUCUGAUUCAGAAGAGGCCAAGAUCAAGCUUGAUGUGGACUCCAAGUGUGCUCCGAAAGAUGAAGGUGAGAAGCUGAAAUUGAAAGGUGUCAAUCAAGUGGCUUGGGAAGGAUUGGUAGGCUUUAGCUAGCUAAAACCUUGUAUUCAGUUUUUGUUCUUCAUAGUAGACAUUUUUAAUCGGUUGUAGGCCCGUGGUUUUUUAUCUCUUCGGAUGUUUUCCACAUUAAAAUUUGGUGUCAUUGUCUCUUUCUCUCAUUCUACUUUUUGAUUUAUUUUCAGUUUUUAAUAUCAUUGAUUACUUAGGUAUAUAUGUUGAAUGGAAGAAAAAUGAGUUGA